RNAcentral lists this small RNA (28 nucleotides) under Bombyx mori (domestic silkworm). RNAcentral describes it as "ovarian small RNA-20420". Lineage: Eukaryota; Metazoa; Arthropoda; Insecta; Lepidoptera; Bombycidae. The record is from RNAcentral.
UACAUGCUUCUGAAAUACCCAUGUAUUC